UACAGAGGGGGCAAGCGUUAUUCGGAAUUAUUGGGCGUAAAGGGCGCGUAGGCGGCCUGGCAAGUGGAAGGUGAAAUCCCUCGGCUUAACCGAGGAACUGCCCUCCAAACUGCUUGGCUUGAGUCCGGGAGAGGUGAGUGGAAUUCCCAGUGUAGCGGUGAAAUGCGUAGAUAUCAAGAGGAACACCUGCGGCGAAGGCGGGUUGCUGGGCCGACACUGACGCUGAAGCGCGAAAGCCAGGGGAGCGAACGGG
Molecule: ribosomal RNA, 253 nt
Filed under: uncultured bacterium
Lineage: Bacteria
Description: partial 16S ribosomal RNA
Rfam family: Bacterial small subunit ribosomal RNA
Source: RNAcentral